GGGAAAAGGCACACACCUCUGACUGAUGGUGACCCAAAAAGAAAUCAUAGAGAAGCAAAUUUGGCUCCACUGGUUUGAUUUUUCCUUCCUUCCUCCUUACACAUCCAAGGAGGUUUUGCUCUGGAAAUCUCUUGCUAUGAGAAUGCCUAACAAACCUGAACCAGGAAACCCUUUACCAACAGGAAGUGACCCAGUCUUUCUGCAUGGCAGGUGGCCACGCUGCCACCUGCUCCCUUCCUGUUAGUCAUGACUCCAAGGGUCUUGACAGAGGGUAGUGACAGGCAACUGGAGAUCUGGAAAGAAAAUCUCUCUUCAAA
This 317-nucleotide long non-coding RNA is filed under the name Homo sapiens (human). Its description in RNAcentral is "HSALNT0062034". The record is from RNAcentral. Lineage: Eukaryota; Metazoa; Chordata; Mammalia; Primates; Hominidae.